Molecule: unclassified non-coding RNA, 123 nt
Filed under: uncultured fungus
Lineage: Eukaryota; Fungi
Description: sequence contains ITS1
Source: RNAcentral
AUCUUUAAUUACUUUUAUUCAAGUAAAAUACAUGUUAUUUUCAAAAGUGUGGGGUUUUAAAUACGCGCAAGCCAGGCUUGCUUAGAUUCAAUAAUGAUCCUUCCGCAGGUUCACCUACGGAAA